Molecule: non-coding RNA, 132 nt
Filed under: Bacillus coahuilensis
Lineage: Bacteria; Bacillati; Bacillota; Bacilli; Caryophanales; Bacillaceae
Also listed under: 1 other name
Description: FMN sequence
Rfam family: FMN riboswitch aptamer (RFN element)
About the family: The RFN element is a highly conserved domain that is found frequently in the 5'-untranslated regions of prokaryotic mRNAs that encode for flavin mononucleotide (FMN) biosynthesis and transport proteins. This element is a metabolite-dependent riboswitch that directly binds FMN in the absence of proteins.
Source: RNAcentral
GUUCAUCUUCAGGGCGGGGUGAAAUUCCCCACCGGCGGUAUUGAGUGACAGAACUCUCAGCCCGCGAGCCUUAGGGCAUGAUUUGGUGAGAUUCCAAAGCCGACAGUAUAGUCUGGAUGGGAGAAGAUGCAA